RNAcentral lists this ribosomal RNA (256 nucleotides) under uncultured Peptostreptococcus sp. RNAcentral's name for it is "partial 16S ribosomal RNA". It matches the Rfam family "Bacterial small subunit ribosomal RNA", at positions 99 to 355 of the family's 1533-position model. Lineage: Bacteria; Bacillati; Bacillota; Clostridia; Peptostreptococcales; Peptostreptococcaceae. The record is from RNAcentral.
CGGGACGGUAGUAACGCGUGGGUAACCUGCCCUAUACACAUGGAUAACAUACUGAAAAGUUUACUAAUACAUGAUAAUAUAUAUUUACGGCAUCGUAGAUAUAUCAAAGUGUUAGCGGUAUAGGAUGGACCCGCGUCUGAUUAGCUAGUUGGUGAGAUAACUGCCCACCAAGGCGACGAUCAGUAGCCGACCUGAGAGGGUGAUCGGCCACAUUGGAACUGAGACACGGUCCAAACUCCUACGGGAGGCAGCAGUU